RNAcentral lists this ribosomal RNA (253 nucleotides) under uncultured bacterium. RNAcentral's name for it is "partial 16S ribosomal RNA". It matches the Rfam family "Bacterial small subunit ribosomal RNA", at positions 524 to 776 of the family's 1533-position model. The record is from RNAcentral.
UACGGAAGGGACAAGCGUUGUUCGGAAUCAUUGGGCGUAAAGGGCGCGUAGGUGGUUCUGUAUGUCUACCGUGAAAGCAUACAGCUCAACUGUAUUUUGUCGGUAGAAACUGCAGGACUUGAGGCUGGGAGGGGCUGGUGGAAUUCCCUGUGUAGCGGUGAAAUGCGUAGAGAUGGGGGAGAACACUCGUGGCGAAGGCGGCCAGCUAGACCAGUUCUGACACUGAGGCGCGACAGCGUGGGGAGCAAACGGG